This 67-nucleotide transfer RNA is filed under the name Exallonyx sp. ZJUH_2016014. Its description in RNAcentral is "tRNA-Ser". Lineage: Eukaryota; Metazoa; Arthropoda; Insecta; Hymenoptera; Proctotrupidae. The record is from RNAcentral.
AAAAUAAGUAAAUACAAUAAUGAACUUCUAAUUCUAUUAUUAAAUGAUUCACCUCAUUUUUAUUUUU